CAAUACGCGAUGAUGAGAUAAGUAUUUUAUGACACUUGCUGAGAGAGCCUAUGUGUGGUGGAAGUAGGUCAAGGAGAUUAGAAGAAAAUGGUCUUGGAGCAUAAUAGUUUAAGCCAAAAAUAGGUGAGGAUUAUUCGGAAACCUCCGUUACAGGGAAAGAGUGCGACGAUUUUUUAACGUACUCUGUGAGUUUAUAUUAGCGAUAAUAUACUAAAUUAAGGUGGUACCAUGAAGUAGCUUUCAUCCUUUGC
RNAcentral lists this non-coding RNA (251 nucleotides) under Aerococcus viridans. Its description in RNAcentral is "T-box sequence". It matches the Rfam family "T-box leader". Rfam says of the family: Uncharged tRNA acts as the effector for transcription antitermination of genes in the T-box leader family. T-boxes are found upstream of many aminoacyl-tRNA synthetase genes and some amino acid biosynthetic genes usually in Gram-positive bacteria. The record is from RNAcentral. Lineage: Bacteria; Bacillati; Bacillota; Bacilli; Lactobacillales; Aerococcaceae.